CCUACGGGUGGCUGCAGUGGGGAAUAUUGGACAAUGGGCGAAAGCCUGAUCCAGCCAUGCCGCGUGUGUGAAGAAGGCCUUCGGGUUGUAAAGCACUUUCAGUGGGGAAGAAAGCCUUGGGGCUAAUACCCUCGAGGAAGGACAUCACCCACAGAAGAAGCACCGGCUAACUCCGUGCCAGCAGCCGCGGUAAUACGGAGGGUGCGAGCGUUAAUCGGAAUUACUGGGCGUAAAGCGCGCGUAGGCGGUCUGAUAAGCCGGUUGUGAAAGCCCCGGGCUCAACCUGGGAACGGCAUCCGGAACUGUCAGGCUAGAGUGCAGGAGAGGAAGGUAGAAUUCCCGGUGUAGCGGUGAAAUGCGUAGAGAUCGGGAGGAAUACCAGUGGCGAAGGCGGCCUUCUGGACUGACACUGACGCUGAGGUGCGAAAGCGUGGGUAGCAAACAGGAUUAGAUACCCUGGUAAGUC
Molecule: ribosomal RNA, 466 nt
Filed under: Vreelandella stevensii
Lineage: Bacteria; Pseudomonadati; Pseudomonadota; Gammaproteobacteria; Oceanospirillales; Halomonadaceae
Description: partial 16S ribosomal RNA
Rfam family: Bacterial small subunit ribosomal RNA
Source: RNAcentral